RNAcentral lists this ribosomal RNA (477 nucleotides) under uncultured bacterium. RNAcentral describes it as "partial 16S ribosomal RNA". It matches the Rfam family "Bacterial small subunit ribosomal RNA", at positions 31 to 507 of the family's 1533-position model. The record is from RNAcentral.
AGGAACGAUGGCGGCGUGCCUAACACAUGCAAGUCGCACGGAGUCCAGCCUUUAAGACCUUCGGGUCAAAGAGGGGAAGACUGAGUGGCGGACGGGUGAGUAACACGUGGGCAACCUGGCUCAUAGAGGGGGAUAACAGAGAGAAAUUUCUGCUAAUACCGCAUAAGCACACACUGCCGCAUGGCAGAGGGUGAAAAGAGAAUCGCUAUGAGAUGGACCCGCGUCUGAUUAGCCAGUUGGCAGGGUAAGAGCCUACCAAAGCGACGAUCAGUAGCCGAUCUGAGAGGAUGAACGGCCACAUUGGGACUGAGACACGGCCCAAACUCCUACGGGAGGCAGCAGUGGGGGAUAUUGCACAAUGGGGGGAACCCUGAUGCAGCGACGCCGCGUGAGUGAAGAAGUAUUUCGGUAUGUAAAGCUCUAUCAGCAGGGAAGAUAAUGACAGUACCUGAAGAAGAAGCCCCGGCUAACUACGUG